RNAcentral lists this ribosomal RNA (417 nucleotides) under uncultured bacterium. RNAcentral describes it as "bacterial SSU rRNA". It matches the Rfam family "Bacterial small subunit ribosomal RNA", at positions 28 to 410 of the family's 1533-position model. The record is from RNAcentral.
GACGAACGCUGGCGGCGUGCCUAAUACAUGCAAGUCGAACGCACUCUCGUUUAGAUUGAAGGAGCUUGCUCCUGAUUGAUAAACAUUUGAGUGAGUGGCGGACGGGUGAGUAACACGUGGGUAACCUGCCCUAAAGUGGGGGAUAACAUUUGGAAACAGAUGCUAAUACCGCAUAAAACCUAAACACCGCAUGGUGUAGGGUUGAAAGAUGGUUUCGGCUAUCACUUUAGGAUGGACCCGCGGUGCAUUAGUUAGUUGGUGAGGUAAAGGCUCACCAAGACCGUGAUGCAUAGCCGACCUGAGAGGGUAAUCGGCCACACUGGGACUGAGACACGGCCCAGACUCCUACGGGAGGCAGCAGUAGGGAAUCUUCCACAAUGGACGAAAGUCUGAUGGAGCAACGCCGCGUGAGUGAAG